CUGGGGCUGUAGUCGGUCCCAAGGGUUGGGCUGUUCGCCCAUUAAAGCGGUACGCKAGCUGGGUUCAGAACGUCGUGAGACAGUUCGGUCCCUAUCCGUCGCGGGCGCAGGMAAUUUGAGAGGAGCUGUCCUUAGUACGAGAGGACCGGGAUGGACGCACCGCUGGUGUACCAGUUGUCCCGCCAGGGGCACCGCUGGGUAGCUAUGUGCGGACGGGAUAAGCGCUGAAAGCAUCUAAGCGUGAAGCCCCCCUCAAGAUGAGAUUUCCCACCGCGUGAAGCGGGUAAGAUCCCUCGAAGAUGACGAGGUCGAUAGGUCCGAGGUGGAAGCGUGGCGACACGUGGAGCUGACGGAUACUAAUCGAUCGAGGGCUUAACCAAGAA
RNAcentral lists this ribosomal RNA (383 nucleotides) under Geobacillus sp. LEMMY01. Its description in RNAcentral is "bacterial LSU rRNA". It matches the Rfam family "Bacterial large subunit ribosomal RNA", at positions 2547 to 2925 of the family's 2925-position model. Lineage: Bacteria; Bacillati; Bacillota; Bacilli; Caryophanales; Anoxybacillaceae. The record is from RNAcentral.